Arachis duranensis is the source of this 2286-nucleotide RNA transcript. It is a transcript of the gene named protein DETOXIFICATION 44, chloroplastic, with no coding region annotated. The record is from RefSeq and is a predicted model, not a curated record. NCBI's taxonomy places the organism in Eukaryota, Viridiplantae, Streptophyta, Magnoliopsida, Fabales, Fabaceae. The transcript has 13 exons.
UGCAUGACAUUUCCGUCACUUUUCGUUCUUCACGCUGUGUGGUGCAGGUGCUUCGAUGGCAUCUUCUCAAUGUCACCGCUUUCUUUGCAUUCACUCUCUGCAACUUCAACCUCACCAUUGCUAUCAUCCACCAUUCAAAUCUCCUACUUUAAUCCCAAAGCCUUAUCAUUGCUUUUCUCGCAUUCGAAUCCGAAUCGCACCAAAAGCUUCUUUGAAGAACAACGGUGCCACCACCACCACCACCAAUGAUUCCGUUGAAACUAGCUCCCUUGAAGAUGAAUCUUCUCGCAUUUCGUCUUCUUCGGAUGAUUCCUUUGCUUUUCUUCGUCGAUUCGGAGAUGGGUGGCUUAAAUUUGAUGAACUGGGGAAGGAAAUACUGUCCAUUGCACUACCUGCUGCUUUGGCAUUGGCAGCUGAUCCACUUACCUCACUGAUCGACACAGCUUUUGUGGGCCACAUAGGACCUGCUGAAUUGGCUGCAGUUGGGGUUUCAACUUCUGUGUUUAAUUUGGUGUCAAAAAUAUUUAACAUUCCUUUACUUAAUAUUACCACAUCCUUUGUUGCCGAGGAACAGGCACUGAUCAGCAAGGAUUCCAGUCAAACUGAUGAAAGUGAUUUUGGUGGCAAAUACCAAAGCAAGAGGCAUAUUCCUUCAGUAUCAACUUCUUUAGCACUUGCUGCUACUCUUGGAAUUGCUGAAACUGUGCUUCUUUCCCUUGGUUCUGGCAUCAUUAUGAACAUCAUGGGUAUACCUGCUGAUUCCCCUAUGCGUGGACCUGCUGAGAACUUUCUUAUGCUAAGGGCCUUUGCCGCUCCAGCAAUUGUGAUUGCAUUAGCUGCUCAAGGAACUUUUCGUGGAUUUAAGGAUACAAAGACGCCUCUAUAUGCUGUUGGUGCUGGCAACGUUCUUAAUGCGAUAUUGGAUCCAAUAUUAAUAUUCUUUUUUGGUCUUGGCAUUAGUGGUGCUGCAGUUGCUACAGUGAUCUCUGAAUACUUAAUUGCUUUUAUUCUUCUAUGGAAAUUGACCGGAAAUGUGCUCCUAAUGCCUUUUCACUUUGAUGGGAGAAAAAUUCUCAGCUAUCUGAAAUCUGGUGGUCUUCUUAUUGGCAGGACUGUGGCUGUGUUUCUGACUUUGACACUGUCAACCUCUAUGGCAGCUAAGCAGGGCCCUAUACCUAUGGCUGGUCAUCAAAUUUGCAUGCAAGUUUGGCUGCCAAUAUCUUUGCUCACUGAUGCUCUGGCACUUGCUGGUCAGACACUUCUUGCCAGCAGUUACUCGCAGGGAAAUUACGAGCAAGCACGCCUCAUUACAUAUAGAGUAUUACAGAUUGGUUUAGGAACAGGAAUUACUUUGUCCGUGAUCUUAUUCUUUGGGUUUGGAUCAUUUUCAAGCUUAUUUACCACAGACUUGGAAGUUCUGAGUGUUGCUCGGUCAGGCAUAUUGUUUGUGGCUGGAACUCAACCAGUGAAUGCUUUGGCAUUUGUCAUUGAUGGACUUUACUAUGGGGUAUCAGACUAUGGUUAUGCUGCGUACUCAACGAUGCUGGUUGGACUAGUUUCUUCAAUCUUCUUGCUGGUAGCUGCUCCAGAACUUGGACUUCCUGGAGUCUGGGCAGGGUUGUUUCUCUUCAUGACUAUGCGUGUUCUCGCCGGAACAUGGAGGUAGAUAUUUGGCAUUGACACAUCUAAUUCAUUAUUAUGGUGACAGUUGGGACACUUUUUGUUGGUUGUUAUGACUCACUAUACCUCCAUAUUGGCAACCUUGCACCAAAAGGAAUCCCAGCAUGAAACUGGACAUGCUUGUCAACAUGUGAUAUGGCAUGCUGUCACAUGUUGAGCAGCAAAAAUGGCCCGUGGAGUAUGAUCUGGUAUAAAGAUGGCGGUGGAGACUGACUGACAUUAUUUUGAAGUCAUCCAGUAAAGGCCAACUUUUUGAAUGGCCAGGGCAUGAUCAAGAGCUCUAUGUUGUGAAAAAUAGGCCUGAUUUCCAUACCCUUGCAAUUGGAUAGAAUACAUAACAGUGUAGGACUAGAGCAAGUUAUUGGAAUGUUGCAGUACUUGGUGCAAACCAAUUUUCCAAAAUGAAAAUGUUGCUGAUACAGCUAGAUAGAAUUUAUAUAGUUUCCAAAGAAGUACACAGAGAGGGAGAGAACAAGUCAUAGAAGAAAUUUGUAUUUAUUAGGAGAUUGCAGUCUUUUGUUUAGCAUUGGUAGGAAAAGGCAACCUUGCAUAUUUGUGACAAUUUAUGCAUUUUUUUCUUUUGAUAUGUGAUUCUUCUAAAUGGAA